UCCCACGCGCCGCUCACUAAGCGGCUCAGCUAAGGUGCGGUUUUCUUUCGCUUUCAGCUUCGCUGACGUCCCUGGAGUGGGGCUUUCCUCCAGCGCCCAGAAUAUUGCUCCCGAGGCACAUAAGCACAAAGAAGCACAAACCUGCUCACCGCGGCUCCGCGAAGCCUUCGCUUUCUUCCUGUGUCUUGUCACUCUUUAUAGAAACUCGAAGUCAGAAUCACAAGGGAAGACAACCGCCUGCGCGAAUGGGCUGGACGCGGAGGCGGGGAAACGCUGCGGCAGGGGAAUAAGUGGAUUCAGUCGGGAGGAGAGCUGGUGGAGAGGAGAGGCUCGCGUGCGGCGCCAGGACCAGCGGUGUGGAUUUCUCCGCGCGUGGGAGAGUCGUGCGCACCACGUAGAUCGCUCUGGCAGAGGAAUGGCGUGCUGUCCUCUUCCCAGGUCUGCCCCACGCUUCCACGCAGUUCCAGAUCGAGAUGGCGUUUUCUAAUAAGCCUUUGACACUCAGCAGAGGGACAUUUCAGUUUACUGAAACGCCUCAGCUUGUAGACGGCUCGCUACAGAGCGCAUGCAGAAAAGGCAGAAAAAUAACAUGCAGGGGACGUUAAAACACUUUCUCCUCCAGGAGCCCCACCUUUCAUUCUUAAUUUUUGUUGCGGGUCUUUGUGUAUGUAUUAAGUGUGUGAACUCAUGUAUCGUGUCACACACACGGCAGUCGGAAGGCAAUAUGCAGGAGUUUGCUCCACCUCCCACCAUGCGACUUCUGAAUCUAGCUGUCGCUCACUGUUUGAGGGAUCGGAAGUCCUUUCUUUCAGACACUAGAAACGGGAAAUUGUCUUUUAGCCUAGGAGCACAAAUGUCUUCUGACUCAGCAUACUUGAGUUCUGAGGCAGGCCACAGCUAACAGGGCAUAGCUGCACAUCACCAGGGCGGCCAGGAGAGGGAGCACGAGAGCCCUGGGGAAAGGAUGCUGCUGGCCUGGUUAACUGGCAGGAGCUUUCAUAGAAAGAAAACCUCUAGUAGAUUGUGGGCAAAGAGAAAACAAAUUUAAGUCCAAAUAUCAAGAAAAUGAAACCGGGAAGUGACUUUCCCCUGAAGAAAACGGCGGAGUAUUGUAAACAGCCGGUGCUGUGGGUGUGGGGAGAACACUGUGAGAUGCACAAAGGGGGUGCGGGGAGAAUGUGGAGCCUAAAGCUGCCCAGGUGGCUGUUUCUGGGAGGGCCACGUAGAGCCGCCUCGGACUCAGUGACCAGCCCUCAGCCUGGAAGACCUUUAAUUUGAACCAGAUGUGAUCGGUGUUGCUGAAGAAAGGGGCCAAACCAACUGACACGCAGGAGCCUGGUCAUCUGACCCAGGUCAGUAGAACACUAACCCAGUUAGGAUAAUGCCUCCCCUGAGGACUCCACCCAGUGACUAACUCAGGCACCAAACACACCGCCUUGCCGAGAAGCCUAGAAUUUGGAGAAAGGGAUUUAGAAGAUCCCAUGAUAAUCUGCUCCUAACCUGGAAAACGGUGCUGGUAUUUUUAAAAAGGAAAGUGGAGGAAAUUAGUUUAAGCUAAAUGUGUCCAUCCACUGGUCUAAAUAAUUUAAAGUAUAAGCUCGAUCAUCUCAGGAGCCCCUUGAGACUCUUUGAACAGAGAUAAAAAAAAGGUCAGAUAUACAAAGUCAAUGCUUUAGAGAGAGUUGAGAUGAGAUAUAGGCUUAUCAUAAAGGAAGUAAGACCUGAAACAGCUAUGGGGUUUACCACGAGAGAGGGGACGUGGUGGGGGCUUGGUAGAACAGCAGCUGAGAUGACAAAGGCCCAGGUCAACUCAACUUCAUUGUUUGUCUCUUUUGCUUGGUUUGAUUUUUGAGACUCCAUCAGGCCUGGCUGUGGUGUUCAAGGGGGCCUCUGAGAUGAACUGUUGGAGGUCAGAAGUUUAUGAGGAGAGUUAUUAAUGCCACAGACACAUGUACAACAAACAAUAGCUUGUCCUAGGCUCUGAGAAGACCGCAAGCCCCAGCACCAGAGACAGAAAGCAUGGAAAGAGUGCGGUCUGAGUGGAAGCGGACCCAUGUGACAGAGUCUGUGUCCCCAUAGCUCUCUGAGGAGGCAGGGGUGGGGGUGGGGUUCAGAUGACAAAGCAAGAAACUGCCUUGAGGAAUGAUUGUCACAGUUCUGUGGUCGAAGGUCACAUUCCAGACCCUGUUUGCUAAGAAAAGAAUGUUUUUCAUUGCUAUCUCCAAAUGUUUGUAAGUUUUCAUUACUGCCUGCAGCUGCUUGUUUCUGCAAACAUCUGUCUAACUGUGGUUUAAAAAGAAAUAAUUCUUUUGGUGGGCAUGAGAGUACAUUGAGAUGGUCCCACUGUUGCCUAACUUGUCAAAGCUGUGGGAAGCUGUUGGGGACUGCUGGACCUUUACAAAGCACGGCUGGGUUCCUCCUUGAGUUUCUCCCUUUCUCCAAGUGCCAGCUUGAGUCUUCCUGGUUAGAAUUUCCAUGAAGUGAUCUUGAUGAAGUCCUACUGCAGAAGGAGAGAGGAAGAUAUAUAUUCUUAAAAUGCAGCCUAGCUCUGAAGAGGCUAAACGUCCUGCAGCAAACCAAGCCAGCCUGGCUUCUUCUAAAGAAGAAAAUAAAACAGGAAAAGUAGGGAGGGGAGGGGAAAGAACAGAAACAGAGAGGAGAGAGGGCUGGUAUAUAGACUAGGUAAGCAAUCUAGUCUGUUGACUGGCUGGCUACAAAAAGUGAGGCUGGCCCCUUGUGUGGUUGCUUUCUCUUCAGAACUCAACAUGGUGCCAUCUUGGGCUUUGCUCCUACAGCCAUGCACCAGGGCAGAGUAAUACAGAGGUGGUCAGCUGUGGUAAUGGAGCUAUUAACACUCCCUGGUAGAUGGGAGAUCCUUACAUGAGAGUCCAGGCAUUGUUUCUCUGUCUCCUCCCUCAAAGGCAAAUCAUUUUGGGAGAUGCUAGAAUGCCUGGAAAGAAGAAGUGUUGCCAUCUGGGGGCUACCAUCUUGAUCUGGCUCAAUAACACUUAAAGAAUGAAAAGGCAGCAGUUAAAGAAUUAAAAGACAGUAGCAUCAGGGGAUCAUGUGCAGUUUAUAUGUGUGUAUGUGAAGGUUGAUAUCACACAUCUUCCUUAAACACAUCCCCCACCACCCCCCUUUUUUUUUUUUUUCAGCUUAAGGGCCUUGCCGGUUUGGCUAGACUGCCUGGUCAGAAAAUCACCAGGAUCUGAAGUGACCAGGUGCUGGGAUGACCAUCAGCGACCUCCAGUGCCCAGCCUUCAUAACAGCCGAUGUCAGACAUGGGUAUUCGCUGUUGCAUGGUAAACACUUCCCCAGCUGACCCACCUCGGCAGCACGUGGUUUUUAAUUCAUCCACUCAACUCUGUACCUUCUACUUGGAGGAUUCAACAUACUUGUUUUGAAGGUUUUUAUUCAUAAGUGAGGAUGAACGCCUACAUUUUAAAUAUUUUUAUGGAAAUUAUUUUUUUUCAAAAUUAUUUUAACUUAAAAAUAGAAAACAUGUUAGAAGGGGGGAAAGGAAAGAAAACCACAAAACAUGUAGGCAGAUUUUUUUCCUGGACAGACUUCUCACCCUCACCUGUCCUCUUGUUCCCAAGGUGAGAAACUACUCAGCCACCGUAUCAAUGCUAUUUAUUGGGACAUGGAUCUGCUUCACAUGGAAGCCAAUGCAUCCCAUGAUAGAAAACUCUAUUGCUGGGACCCUGGCAAUCUUCUCCUUUCUACCAGUGGGGUGGAUCUUUGAGCCAAAGCAACCAGGUUCUUUAUGAACUGCCGUCUUGACUCAACAAAUGGCAUUACCUGAUCUGUGAUUGUUUGUGGGACAGUGGUUCACAAAGGCAGACAGAGAUAAAUAUUGAUUCCUGGUUGUCCUACAAAUCAUGUCUUCCUUUUCAUCACCCCUAGGAUUUAUAGUUGCGUGCUUGUGGUUUUCUAAAGCAAUAAAUACAUUUUCUUUUUCAUUUCCAUA
Molecule: long non-coding RNA, 3970 nt
Organism: Alexandromys fortis (reed vole)
Lineage: Eukaryota; Metazoa; Chordata; Mammalia; Rodentia; Cricetidae
Exons: 2
Source: RefSeq, a predicted model, not a curated record